CAAUCCAUAUUGUUGUUGAUUUUAAUAAUAUUCUUCUUAUUAUUAUUGUCAUAUUGUGGAAAUAUUCCAUUGAAGGAAUUCAUGUUAUUUUAAUGCAAAAAAAAAUCUGUAAUUUGAGUGCUGCAAGCAGAAAGGCUGAGGUCUAUCUUCAUACUCGAUAACUGUAUGCAAUCAUAUUGUAGCUCUUUGACAUCUUAUCCUUUUAUGACCAAAUACACACCGUGUUAAACCCACUAUGCCACCAAGAAUGACCUUCAUGUAUUCAUUGAUUUUUCUUCUGUUUUUUGCUGUUGCUCAAAAUCGUGGAGAAACGUAGCUGACAACAAAAAAAAAAAAACAUACUUGAAUCUAUUCAGUAAAUCAAAUUAAUAAAUACAUUUUACUGUAGUAGUCGGAAAAGCGACACGAUUUUUUUGUUAGAAUUUUAACUUUGUUAUCAGAAUGACUUGUUUCUCCACAGUGGUAAUAGUAAUGACCUGGUGGUAUUACCAUUACAUGUGUGUCUUAAUGAGCAGGUCGGAUUUAUCCUAGCCUAGAGGUCAGACGGCUAAGGAAGUUAUCAUUCUCUGAAUCUCAAACCAACCCCUAGGCCUAGGGGAUAGGGUUAGGGGAUAAGGAUAGGGAAUAAGGAUGGGGGAUAAGGAUAGGGGAUAGGGCUAGGGGAUAAGGAUAGGGAAUAAGGAUAGGGGAUAAGGAUAGGGGAUAGGGAUAGGGGAUAGGGCUAGGGGAUAGGGCUAGGGGAUAAGGAUAGGGGAUAAGGAUAGGGGAUAGGGCUAGGGGAUAAGGAUAGGGGAUAGGGCUAGGGGAUAAGGAUAGGGGAUAAGGAUAGGGCUAGGGGAUAGGACUAGUGGACAUGGGAUAGGGGUUAGGGCAAGAGGAUAGGGCUAGGGAAUAGGACUAGGGGCUAGGGGAUAGGGGAUAGGACUAGGGGAUAGGGGUUAGGGCUAGGGCAUAGGGGUUAGGGCUAGGGGAUAGGACUAGGGGAUGGGGAUAGGGGUUAGGGGAUAUGGUUAGGGGAUAUGGUUAGGGAGUAGGGCUAGGGGUUAGGACUGGGGAUAGGGGUUAGGACUAGGGGAUAGGGGUUAGGACUAGGGGAUAGGGGUUAGGACUAGGGGAUAGGGGUUAGGGCUAGGGCAUAGGGGUUAGGGCUAGGGGAUAGGGGAUAGGGUUAGGGUUAGAGGAUAGGGGUUAGGGCUAGAGGAUAGGACUUGUGGACAGGGCUAGGGAAUAGGGCUUGGGGGUAGGGGUUAGGGCUAGAGGAUAGGGCUGGGGAAUAGGACUAGGGGCUAGGGGAUAGGGGAUAGGACUAGGGGAUAUGGGUUAAGGCUAGAGGAUAUGGGUUAGGGCUAGGGGAUAGGACUAGGGGAUAGGGCUUGGGGAUAGGGGUUAGGGGAUAUGGUUAGGGAGUAGGGCUAGGGGUUAGGACUGGGGAUAGGGGUUAGGACUAGGGGAUAGGGCUAGGGGACUAGGGGUUAGGGGUAGGGGACUAGAGGAUAGGGGUUAGGGCUAGGGGAUAGGGGUUAGGGCUAGAGGAUAGGGGUUAGGGCUAGGGGAUAGGGGUUAGGACUAGGGGAUAGGGGUUAGGACUAGGGGAUAGGGGUUAGGGCUAGAGGAUAAGGGUUAGGGCUAGGGGAUAGGGGUUAGGGCUAGGGGAUAGGGGUUAGGGCUAGGGGAUAGGGGUUAGGACUAGGGGAUAGGGGUUAGGACUAGGGGAUAGGGGUUAGGGCUAGAGGAUAGGGGUUAGGGCUAGGGGAUAGGGGUUAGGGCUAGAGGAUAGGGGUUAGGGCUAGGGGUUAGGGCUAGGGGAUAGGGGAUAGGGAUAUGGAUAGGGGGUAGGGAUAGGGGAUAGGAAUAGUAGACCUAGGACCCCCUGCCAUGAUCAGAGAUCAGAUACUAUGUCCCCAAUGGCACCUUAUUCCCUAUAUAGUGCACUACUUUUGACCAGUGGUGCACUAUAUAAAGGGAAUAGGGUUCUAUAGGGCCCUGGUCAUAAGUAGUGCACUAUAUAGGGAAUAGGGUUCCAUAGGGCUCUGGUCUAAAGUAGUGCACUAUAUAAAGGGAAUAGGGUUCUAUAGGGCCCUGGUCAUAAGUAGUGCACUAUAUAGGGAAUAGGGUUCCAUAGGGUUUUGGUCUAAAGUAGUGCACUAUAUAGGGAAUAGGGUUCUAUAGGGCCCUGGUCUAAAGUAGUGCACUAUAUAGGGAAUAGGGUUCCAUAGGGUUUUGGUCUAAAGUAGUGCACUAUAUAGGGAAUAGGGUGCCAUUUGGAAGGCAGAGAGACAAAAGGCCUGUUGUAUGUGAUCAUAGCUUUAAGUUAUUUUAUUCAUGUUGUUUAUUCCUCAAACAUUCCAACUGCCAACUCAUCUCGUAUGAUAAUAUCAUUGUUGUUACAAAUGCUUGUUAUUAUUGUGUUUUUGUUAUUGUUGUUUUGUUAUUGUUUACCCUUUUUGUUCUAUGAUUUUCCUUGUCUUUACGGUUUUAAUCUUGAACAUGUUGAACAAUGAAGUAAUUUUCAUUUUAUUUGAUCAGCUGUGAAUUUGUACUGACUGUGUCGAUCUGGUCGAUUUGGUUGUGUGUGUGUGUGUGUGUGUGUGUGUGUGUGUGUGUGUGUGUGUGUGUGUGUGUGUGUG
Molecule: long non-coding RNA, 2627 nt
Filed under: Salmo salar (Atlantic salmon)
Lineage: Eukaryota; Metazoa; Chordata; Actinopteri; Salmoniformes; Salmonidae
Description: lncRNA (ENSSSAG00000089683.1, ENSSSAG00000107566.1)
Source: RNAcentral